GACGAACGCUGGCGGCGUGGAUUAGGCAUGCAAGUCGAACGGUAUCAUCCUUUCGGGGGUGAGAGAGUGGCGAACUGGUGAGUAACACGUAGGUUAUCUACCCUCAAGACGGGGACAACCCAGGGAAACUUGGGCUAAUACCGGAUGUGAGCAACUUUUAGUUGUUUGAAAGGUGGCGUAAGCUGUCGCUUGGGGAUGAGCCUGCGUCCUAUUAGUUAGUUGGUGAGGUAACGGCUCACCUAGGCAAUGAUAGGUAGGCGGCCUUAACGGGUGGUCGCCCACACUGGGAUUGAGAUACGGCCCAGACUCCUACGGGAGGCAGCAGUCGAGAAUAGCCUACAAUGGUCGGAAGACUGAUAGUGCGACGCCGCGUGAACGAUGAAUCCCUUCGGGGUGUAAAGUUCUUUUAUAUGUGAGCAGUGCUUCUUAUAUUAACAGUAUGGGAGAGAGAUAUUAGCAUAUGAAUAAAGCAACGGCUAAACUCCGUGCCAGCAGCCGCGGUAAAAUA
This 508-nucleotide ribosomal RNA is filed under the name uncultured bacterium. Its description in RNAcentral is "bacterial SSU rRNA". It matches the Rfam family "Bacterial small subunit ribosomal RNA", at positions 28 to 527 of the family's 1533-position model. The record is from RNAcentral.